This 685-nucleotide ribosomal RNA is filed under the name uncultured bacterium. RNAcentral's name for it is "bacterial SSU rRNA". It matches the Rfam family "Bacterial small subunit ribosomal RNA", at positions 8 to 682 of the family's 1533-position model. The record is from RNAcentral.
AGAGUUUGAUCAUGGCUCAGGAUGAACGCUAGCGGCAGGCCUAACACAUGCAAGUCGAGGGGCAGCAUAGAUAGUAGCAAUAUUAUUUGAUGGCGACCGGCGCACGGGUGCGUAACACGUAUGCAACCUACCUUAUUCAGGAGGAUAACCCCGAGAAAUCGGGGCUAAUAUUCCAUAAUUUCAUUGUAUGGCAUCAUAUGAUGAAUAAAGCUGAGGCGGAAUAAGAUGGGCAUGCGUCCAAUUAGUUAGUUGGUGAGGUAAUGGCUCACCAAGACUUCGAUUGGUAGGGGUUCUGAGAGGAUGAUCCCCCACACUGGUACUGAGACACGGACCAGACUCCUACGGGAGGCAGCAGUGAGGAAUAUUGCGCAAUGGACGAAAGUCUGACGCAGCCAUGCCGCGUGCAGGAUGACUGCCCUAUGGGUUGUAAACUGCUUUUGUACGGGAAUAAACCCUUCUACGUGUAGGAGGCUGAAGGUACCGUAAGAAUAAGCACCGGCUAACUCCGUGCCAGCAGCCGCGGUAAUACGGAGGGUGCAAGCGUUAUCCGGAUUUAUUGGGUUUAAAGGGUCCGCAGGCGGAUCGUUAAGUCAGUGGUGAAAGCCCACAGCUCAACUGUGGAAUUGCCAUUGAUACUGGCGGUCUUGAGUAUAUAUGAAGUUGGCGGAAUGUGUGGUGUACCGGU